AGAGUUUGAUCAUGGCUCAGAGCGAACGUUAGCGGCAGGCUUAACACAUGCAAGUCGAGCGAGAAAGGGGCUUCGGCCCUGAGUAAAGCGGCGGACGGGUGCGUAACACGUGGAUAAUCUGCCUUUUAGUGGGGAACAACAGUCCGAAAGGAUUGCUAAUGCCGCAUGUCACGGCGGAGACCCCGGUCUCUGUCGGAAAA
Molecule: ribosomal RNA, 200 nt
Filed under: uncultured bacterium
Lineage: Bacteria
Description: partial 16S ribosomal RNA
Rfam family: Bacterial small subunit ribosomal RNA
Source: RNAcentral